This 14059-nucleotide long non-coding RNA is filed under the name Eucalyptus grandis. RNAcentral's name for it is "long non-coding RNA (EGRA_LNC004177)". Lineage: Eukaryota; Viridiplantae; Streptophyta; Magnoliopsida; Myrtales; Myrtaceae. The record is from RNAcentral.
ACCGAGCGAAACCUCUGCCGCCAGCGGCUUUGUCUUCUUCCCAAUUUCCUCUCAGCCGAAGUUCUCCCAUAGAAGCUGCUCGUUUCUUCAGCUCCUCGCGGUCACGUCCCUCUCCGCACGUCCAAGCCCACCGAUGGCCGAAUCCCCAUGCCUAGUCAACGAAAGAGUCCAACAAAAAUCGGUUUGUUGACCUCCUAGCCCCACACGAAGCCGCCCAUCUCCACAAAGCCUUGCUGAACGAAGCCCCACGCUGCCCUGUGUUCAACCGAUCAACCUAGCAAUUCCACCGACUCUCUGCAGUCGCGCCAGCACGCCCAUGCUCCACCAAAUUUUGUCUCCUCAAGUCAACCCGCCAAGCAGAUUGUUGACUCCUCCACCGAAUCAAGCUGCAACUCCAUUUGGCUUCACAUUUAGCCGGCAGCCGCCACGAGCGAGGUAGCAGCCUUCAUCUUCGGCUUCUUCAAUCUAGCUCACCCAACGCCGCAUCUGCUUCUCUCACGCCAGUCCCCUUCGAUUGAAGCCGCGGCCCGUCAAUUCCAGCGAAGCCAAAGACAAGCCCAGCAGCUGUUUGGUCCAGUCCAUUUGAAACUCGACGAAUUCUGCCUUUGGAGCCCGUGAAUUUUGGCCUAGCCCAUCCGAAGUCAAGCCCUGCAGCAGCAAGCCCAUCUCAGCCCAUUUGAAGCCCAAGUCCACAAGUGCAGCCAUCUUCAGUUUUCGGCCCAACCUUAAGCAGCCCAAUCUUGAAGCCGCCCGCGAAGCAAGUCAGCUCAAGCUUAGGCCCAAGUUUGGUUCAAGCCCAGAAAUUUCUGCGGGCUUGCGAGGCUUGUAGGCCCCGCCCGAGUGUCUGUCGGCGCCGCCGAAAGUUCUUGUUUCGGCCGCUGUCACGUCGCCGUCGUGGUGAUCCAAUCCCCACUUUUAAUCAAGUGAGUAGUCUCACUAAUCCUUGCUUAGUAGACUAAUGAUUUUUAAGGGUUGAUUAGAUUUAAUUAAGUGCAAUUAUGCGGUUAGAUUAGAAUGGAUUAGUGAUUAUUAGUUAAUUGCACUGCAUAUUAGUUAGGUGGUUAGUGUACUUAACUAGAGAACUGUCUAUACUAUUUAUUGAAUGCAUCUCGGGAUUUUUCCCGACUCUUCUCGGGCUUCAAUUAGGCAUUAUAGGCCUAAAUUGAAUUUUUAGUAUUUAUUUAUUAAUUUUCGAAAUUAAUUAUUUAAUUAAUUAUUUUUCAGAAAUUAGGCAAGGAUAGUCGACGACCGAAAUUUCGUGUUGAUCGUCGUGGUGUAGUCCGUUUAAUUAUUUGAGCUCUACGUUGUGCUGAAUCGAAUUAAUUGUGUAAUUUGAGGAAUUAUUCCUAAUUGAUUGAAAUUGAGUGAAAUUGAAUGAUUGAUUGGUGGAUGACCAAGUAUAGUUAGUUAGCAUUGACAAUGCUUUGAUGAGUUGUAAAGUACAGAAAAUCGUGAGGCUAAAUUGAGAAUAAUCUUGGCUGAGAUCGAUUAGGUACGAGAUAUAGACAUACGUGGUUUGGUGAUAAGGAAAUCAUUGAUGAAAACGAUGCCUUAAAGAAUGCACGAGUGCUGUCUAUUACUUGCAUCAGUAUAGACAUACGUGGUUCGGUGAUAAGGAAAUUACUGGUGAAAACGGUGCUUUAAAGAACGCACGACUGCUGUCUAUUGCAUGCCUCAUUACAGACAUACGUGGUUCGGUGAUUAAAAAUAUCACUGGUGACAAUGGCGCCUUAAAGAACACAUGAGUGCUAUCUAGUACAUACGUCACCAUGGCGAAGAUGACGCUCGAGAGCAUUACUGUAGCUCUGUGACUGAGAGUGCAAAUGAGAGGUUUUAUAUUGAGAAAUGAUUUGACCUGGAAAUGGUCCGACUGACAUGUAAUUGAUUGAUUGAGUGGAAGUGACCUUGAAUGGUCCGAUUGAUAUGUAAUAGACUAGGUUGAUUGAUCGAGAUAUCGAUCUGUGAUGUGAUUGCUAAGGUGCCUAUUGAAUUGUGCUAAUAUGCAGGUGGAAUCUAAGGCCAAGGUAAGUCUUCUAACCCGUGCAUGUAUAGGCAGCCCGGUUAGCAUAUUGGUUUCCUAAUCGAGUCUUAGUGUGGUAAAACUUGUUGAGACGUAGUCUCAUCUCAGUUGUGAGACAACAUUUCAGGACCCUGAUGAGGAGCCUAAGGAGAAAGAGAUCGAAGAGGAGUAACUAGAGGAGAACCUCGAUGAUGAUCCGAGUACGACCCGGAUCCCAUCAUCUUGUGAACCCUGUUCGUAGAUGGUUGAGUGUGAGAUUAGACCUUUGUGAAUAGUAUGGUAAAUUACUUUGAGGUGUGGUUGUAUACAAGUUUGGUUGUGAAAUCGUUUGGAGCACGGGAUAUGAAUCCGACCAAGCGUUUUACUGCGUCGAUGAGCAAACUGUGUGGGGUUGUUAAUCGCGGACAUGCACAAUGAGCAUUAGAAUAGAAGCAGCAAGGAGAUCUUCCCAAAUUCUCAAAAAAAAAUGAAAUUUCUUGGUGUUCCGUGGUCUGGCUAUUUUUUUUUCCAUCACUCUGGACUCUCUCGCAGACAGCGAUCUAGGCUCUCCUAGCAUUCCCUAGUGAACUUACUUUCUAUCUUGAAACAGGGUCGGCGAUGUAUUAAUUCUCUCUCUCUCUCCCUCUGUCUCUCUGUCUCUCUGUCAUAAAUUUACUAGAAGAUGUUAAAAUGUCCUAUGUCAUGUCCCGAAUUCCAUGAAGGUAGGGGUAAUGACAUAACCGUCCUUUCACCAAAAGAUAGGAUCUCAAACUAUACCUAAAAGUCAAGCUCCCAAAAGUGCUCUCAUAUUAUCAGUUGCUAAUUGAGGAACCCGAAAAAAUAAGGAACAAAAUGAGUGAACAAUCACAAUUUAGUAAGUGGUGCAUAUUUCUUCUAAACACAUUGAAUACCAACUAUGCACUUUACAAAACAAUGUUCAAAGCUAACUUAUCUUAAUCCUAGUAUAAUACACAUACAAUAAAAGAAUAAUUAUAUUGCUUUAACAUCUACAUAUCAGAAAACAUUUGUUUAAUCAAUAAUAUCAUAACAAACAACAAUGAUCUAAUCCAUUAAUCAAUCUUAUCAAUUCACAUAUCAAUGAUUUAAACCAUUGAUUAAUCUAAUCAAAUCACACAUCAAUGAUCAAUUUCAUCAACUAAUCUCAAAUUGCAUGUAAAUGGUCCAUUUCGUUGACCGAAUUCGUGCUCAAAUAUUAGCCAUGAUUAUGACAAGGAAACCAAACUCAUUUCUUGGCAAUGUCACCAGCUAUAUUGUCACUGUUUGGCCCAUUAGGAUAUAUUAAACUAACAUGCACAUACCCAUAAGCCCCACAAUGAGCUCAUACAUAUUAAGCACCAACACAAACUAGUAACCGGAUCCUUUACAAUUUGCAAGCAAAUUCGGAAUCAAAUUACAAAUGGUUUCACAAACCAAGCAUAUUAUCUUUCUCAUAGAAUACAUUUCACAAGGAGUAUAAAAGGAAGACGUUCCAGUUGUUCCUUUAAUAGCUCGAAUGAUCUUCCUAAUUGAUCCUGUCCAACGGGAGGAUUGGAAGAAUUCCUUUGGUAAGUGCCAAUGGGUAUGAUGACACAAAGGAGUAUAAAAGGAAGACGUUCCAGUUGUUUGAGGAAGUGCACGAGAGAAGAAUUCCAAAGUCUGAAGCUCUUUGUUUCUUAGUCAAUUCAUUUACUGAGUGAAAUCUUGUACGGAAAAGAGAGUCUAUAUUUUGAGAUACCUUGAGGAAGUGUGGUAGAGUAUCUACACUGUGGAAUCAAGGAAAAGUAUUGCUAUAACAUCUCUUUUGUUCAUAGUGAAAUCUAGCCAGUGGGCUGUCAGUGUAGAAGAAUGGACGUAGGCUUAAAAUAAGCCGAACCACUAUAAAUCUUGUGUUCAAUUCUCUCUUCCCUACUCUCUGCUUUACUUUGAUCAUAGUUCGAUUUGUUAACUAAAGGAGAGCUUCCUUUUUGUUGUUUGUCCAUUAUUGCUUUCAUAUCUCGAGAAAUUAUUUUUACACCUAUUCACCUCCCUCUAGGUGUUUAUACUAGCUAUAUCAAUUAGUAUUAGAGUUCGUGUACUCACUUUGUUUGAAGUGUUUUAUUUCAGAGUUAAAGAUCCAUGGUUAGUAUGCUAGUUCCAGGGCUGGUGGAAGGGCAAAGCAAUACCGGACCACCUUACUUUGAUGGAAAUGAUUACAACAUCUGGAAAAACAAGAUGAAAGCGUUUCUACGAUCAAAGGAUCCUAUGAAAUGGGACGUUGUAGAAAAAGAAAUCACUCCUAAAGCUGCAUCUGUCUCAGAGAGAGGAAAAGAAACUGUUGAGUCAAGUGAAAUGACUCAGGAAGAGAUAAUCAAGAGAUAGGCUCUUGAUGCAAAAGCAAUUUAUUCUUUAUAUUGUGCUUUAUCACCUACUGAAUAUAACAGAAUAUCUUCUUGUGUUACAGCUAAAGAAGUCUGAGAUAGAUUACACAUUACUUAUGAAGGAACUGAUCGAGUGAAAGAAACCAGAAUCAACAUUCUGCUCGGUCAAUAUGAAGCAUUCAAAAUGAAAUCUGGAGAAUCUAUUACAGACAUGUUUAGUCGUUUUACAGAGAUCGUGAAUGGCCUUGAAAAUCAAGGGCAACCAAUUUUUGAUCCCAUGAAAGUAAACAAGCUUCUGCGUGGACUCUCCAAGGAUUGGAAUCACAUAAAGACUUCAAUAAGAGAGACACAAAGAAUCAUGCUACUAUCUGUUGACGAGUUGGUCAGAACUCUUCAGUCUUAUGAAGAGGAACAAAUCAAUGAAGACGAAGAUCCUAAAGGUAAGAAAUCCAUUGUAUUAAAAUCCAAUAAUGAUUAUGAUGUCACAGAUUCUGAAGACAAUAUGGACGAUGAGGAGCUUGCUCUCAUGAUAAGAAGAUUCAAAAAACUGAACAAAAAAGGAAGAAGAUUCAAUCCAAAAAAACAGAGUUUUCAAAAGCAACAUACCAAGUCUGUUGAUGAUGAUGAAUCAAACAAAGAUGUAGUCUGCUUUGAAUGUAAGAAAAAGGGACACAUCGGACCCAACUGUUCUCUUCUGAGAAAGAAGAAAGGAAAAGCUGAAAAGUAUCGAAAGGCUUUUAAAGCAGAAACCUAGAGUGAUACAGAGUGUGAAGAAAGUGAUGAUGAUUAUGCCAAUAUAUGUCUAAUGGCACAAUCGGAUUCGGAUUCAAACUCCGAGACAGACUCAGAUUCAGACAGUGAAUUUGAGGUCACUAUCAAGAAAAAAGGUAAAAUGGUAUCUGGAUAGUGGAUGCUCAAGACAUAUGACAGGAGAUUCAAAUUGCUUCAUAAAGCUCGUUCAAGUAAAUGGUAGAAAAGUCUCAUUUGGAGGAAACAUUUGAGGAAAAAUUGUGGGAUUUGGAACUGUAAAGAUUGGAAACCUCACUAUAAGCAAUGUUUCCCUAGUGGAAGGACUCAACUACAAUCUGCUCAGUAUCAGUUAGCUGUGUGAUAUUGGUUUCAAAAUCAACUUUCAAGAGGGAAUAUGUUCAGGAACCAGUAAAGAUUCUACUCAGUCAUUCAUGGGCCGAAGACAUGGAAAUAUCUAUCUCUUGGAUGUGAAACUAGAUGAAUCGCAAUGUCUAAUCUCAAUUCAAGAUGAAGCGAACUUAUGGCACAGAAAGCUUGGGCACAUCAAUAUGAAGCAGAUAGCCAAAAUUUCAGCAAAGAAGCUUGUUCGUGGUCUACCCAAAUUAUCAUACUAAAAGUCUGAUCUAUGUACACCAUGCGUAUUGGGAAAUCAGGUAAGAAAUUCCUUUAAACCAAUAAAUCAAGUUUCCACUAAUCGUGUACUUCAGCUUCUGCAUAUGGAUCUCUUUGGACCAACCAGAACUCAGAGCAUUGGAGGUAAGAAAUAUUGCCUAGUAAUUGUGGAUGACUACUCACGAUUUACUUAGGUAUAUUUCCUAGCAAGUAAGUCUGAAACCUUCUCUUACUUUGAAAAGUUUGCUAAAAAGGUUCAAAAUGAAAAAGGGUAUGCUAUCUCGAGUAUAAGAACAGACCAUGGAGGUGAAUUUGAAAAUCAAGAUUUUACAAAAUUCUGUGAUGAAUCUGGUUUUCAGCAUGUAUUCUCCUCUCCAUAUACUCCAGAGCAAAAUGGAGUUGUGGAAAGAAAGAAUAGAUCGCUUCAAGAAAUGGCUAGAACUCUUUUAAUUGAAAGUAACAUCUCUUCACGAUUUUGGGCUGAAGCAGUUUCAACAGCAUGUUACAUUAUCAAUAGAGUUUUUCUAAAGCCUAUUAUGGAAAAAACCCUAUGAGUUAUUUAAAGGAAAGAAGCCUAUUGUUUAAUAUUUUCAUGUGUUCGGAUGCAAAUGCUUUAUAUUGAAAAAUGCAAAUGAUAGAGUUGGUAAGUUUGAAGAAAAAUCAAACGGAGGCAUCUUCCUUAGAUAUUCUACCUCAAACAAAGCCUACCGUCUAUAACAAGAAGAGUCAAUCUGUGGAGGAAUCAAUGAAUGUCAAAUUCCAGGAUUCUAUGCAAAAUGAAUUUGCUUAGACUCAUCUUGAAGAAUCUGAACCUGCUCCAGACUUUACAAAGUUUAAAUCUCAAGAAGCAACUCAGACUUUAAAAGACCAGCAACAAAUGGUUAUUGAAGAUUCAAAUGAAGGAAGUGCUCAUCAACCUGACAAAUCAACCAGUAACUGGAAGCAUAAGUCCAGUCAUCCCAAAGACCUCAUUAUUGGCGACAUUAAUGAAGAAAUUCGCACAAGAUCCAAAAGGCGCGAAGAGUCUAGUGCUGUGGCUCUUAUUUCUGAAAUAGAACCAAAAAGCAUAGAAGAAGCUUUAUCUGAUGAAAGCUGGAUUGAAGUUAUGUAAGAAGAACUCAGACAAUUCAGUAUUAAUGAUGUCUGGGAGUUGACUCAUAAACCAAAAGGUAAAUCUAUUAUUGGAGCUAAUUGGGUUUUCAGGAACAAGAUGAACGAAAAAGGAAAAGUCGUAAGAAACAAAGCAAGACUCGUGGCCAAUGGAUAUACGCAAGAAGAAGGGAUAGACUAUGACGAGACUUAUGCACUAGUAGCAAAGUUAGAAGCAAUUCGAUUAUUACUUGCUUUUGCUUGUUACAAGAAUUUCAGGUUAUUCCAAAUGGACGUCAAGAGUGCUUUCCUGAAUGAUUUAUCCAUGAGGAAGUCUAUGUGGAACAACCACCUGGGUUUGAAGACCCAAGGAAGCCAGACUCAGUAUUCAGACUGAAAAAAGCCUUGUAUGGUUUAAAGCAAGCACCUCGAGCUUGGUACGACAAGCUGAGUAAGUUUUUAAUUCAAAAUGGCUUUGAAAAAGGUAAAGUAGACACUACUCUGUUUAUCAAAAGAGAAAACAAAAGUUUUUUGCUUGUUCAAAUAUAUGUUGAUGAUAUCAUUUUUGGAUCCUCUAAUGAAAGUUUGUGCAAGAAAUUCUCUAAGUCUAUGCAGGAUGAAUUUGAAAUGAGCAUGAUGGGUGAACUAACAUUCUUUCUUGGACUUCAAGUGAAACAAUUGAAGCAAGGGACUUUUAUUCAUCAAGAAAAAUAUGCUAAUGAUCUUGUCAAAAAGUUUGGACUGGAAAAUUGCAAAAAGAUUGACAUACCAAUGUCAAGUUCCUUGAAGAUAGAGAAAGAUGAAGGAGGAAAGAAAGUUGACCAGAAGCUAUACAGGAGUAUCAUCGGUUCACUUCUUUAUCUUACUGUUUCUAGACCUGACAUUUUGUUCAGUGUUUGCAUUUGUGCUAGAUUUCAAGCAGACCCUAAAGAAUCUCAUCUAAGUGCUGCAAAGCGUAUUAUCAAAUACAUUGCUUCAACUUCAAGCAUCGGCCUUUGGUAUCCUAAAAAGGGAGACUUUACUCUUCUUGGAUACUCAGACACAGAUUUAGCCGGUUGCAGAGUUGAUAGAAAGAGCACCUCGGGUACCUGUUGGUUACUUGGAAGCAGGACAGUGUCUUGGUUUUCAAGAAAGCAAAAUAUAGUAGCUCUUUCUACAGUAGAGGCAGAGUAUGUAGUUCUCGGAAGUUGUUGUUCACAAAUACUAUGGAUAAAACAAUAGCUAAGAGACUUUGGAAUUGAAGAUUCAUGAACGGAGAUUAAUUGUGACAACACUAGUGCAAUCAAUCUUACCAAGAAUCCAAUUCUUCACUCAAGAGCAAAGCAUAUAGAGAUUCGACAUCACUUCAUUAGAGAUCAUGUUCAAAAUGAAGAAGUUUCGAUUCAGUUUGUUGACUCAAAGAACCAAUUGGCGGUUAUAUUUACGAAGUCUUUGGAGAAAAAUCAAUUUGAAAUCAUCCGUUCCAGACUCAACAUCUUGAAGCUUGAAGAAGUUAAAGUCUAGAGACUUUCAGUCUCAGACAAUCAUGGUUCUUGACUGUAAGUUAUUUUAUUUUCUCUUAAAUCUCGUAAAGGUACGAUCUUUUAUCCAUAUAUAAAUGAUUUAUACUAUUGUCAAUUUCCGUGAAAAGUGCAAUUUUUCCUUUUCAAAAAGAGUUAAUGGCAGUUAUCCAUUUUUUGAAAAAGGCAGUUAUUUUUUAAAAAUGUAUCUUUUAACAUUCCUUUACGACGUUUGCAUUUCCCUGUUUCAACUAAGCUAUAUACAGUCGGUUCCUCUUCACUUAACUCCAAAACCCUAAAAAGAACCGAUCUUCUAUUCAUGUCUUCCUCCCUUGUUUAAUCUUCAAAAAGUUGUCAUCUUUCUUGGGAAAGUCAAGCAAGGAAUCUUUCAAAGACUGAGAAAGAUGUCAUCUUCAAGAAAGUCUUCGAGGAUUGCAAGCAGGGGACCACGGCGAAUGAGUGAGGGGCCUACUCACUUUGAUCUCACCGAGGAAGAGGAGUCACCAAGUUAGCAGCAGAGCCCACAACAUUCUCAGCAGCGUCAUUCUCCACCAUCUAGUCCACAGGAUGUUGGUCAUCAACAAGAGGAAGAAAUCAUCAAAGACACAGAUCCUGUAAGAGUUCAAAGGACCUCUUUUAUUUAUAAACUUUACCGUGCUUUAUAGAGGAUUGGUACACCAUUGAACUACAUCGAUGAGUUUCUUAAGGACAAGGGAUAUGGGAAUGAGUACAUCUUUUUGCGAAAAAUGGAGCGUUUGGGAAUUGCUCCUAAAGGGUUGGUAGAAGAAACCCUUGCAAAUAUCCCAAGUGAUCCGCAUGUUGGGGGAUUUAAUUCGAUAGAUGGAAAUGAUGAUGACAGAUUGUACAACCAAUUUCAACCAAGAAUGGGUAUUGCGGCAAAAAUUCGAGGAAAAAGAACAGAGUUGUUUAGCUCGAAGGAACAGAAGGAUCUAUACUCCAAAUUGUUGAAGCGUGGGGUGAUAAACCCUAGGAGUGUAGAUUUUGAUUUCCUUGAUGCUGUGAAUGUAAAUUUGAGGGAAAAGUUCAGUUUUCUUCAACUUGAAUAGUUUUGUUCUGACACCACAGAAGCCUAUGCUCAAUUAACUGCAUAUUUCUAUUCAAAUCUUAGUUUCUUGGAUGCGAAUAGAAUCUCUUUCAGUGUCCGAGAUCAGGACUUUGUGGUGGAUGUGGAUAUUCUGGCGGAUGUGAUUAGGGUUGAGAGAGGGAGAUAUCAACCCAUCAGUGUCUCUAUAGCUCGUGCCACAUUGGAAUUUGUUAAAGACAGAAGGACAGAGGGAAGGAUUUCCUACUCAAGGAUGUGUGCGUUCAACAUUUUGCUUCACAAGAUUGUGAUUAAUUGCCUCAGACCGAAAUCAAUUUCCAAGACUGAUGUUUCUAACUCAGAGGCAAAGCUGAUGUACGCCAUCAAUGCUAGGAAAAAGUUUUCUCUUCCUCACACUAUACUGUUCCACAUGUAUAGAGCAGUGGUGAAGGACAAGGGCCAACUUCCUUAUCCAGGUCUUGUGUCAAAGAUAUUCAGACAUUUGAAUAUUCAACCUCCACAAAUUCUAUGUGUUCGACCGUGUGACAAAAUGGUGGUAGGACUGAAAAUGGUGUCCAAAAUGUGUCUGAAAGAACUCAACAAGGCGUUGGAGAAAUUUAAAGAGAAAACUCUUGUCAAAUCUCAUCAAGUCUCUUCUGCAGCGAAAAGAAAAGGGAAGGAGCCCAUGGUUACUCCAUCCAAAAAGAGAAAAGCUCUCAUUACUGAUGAAGAUGAUGAGGAUGACCUCACAAUUUCUGCUAUAGCAUUAAAGAAUCUGAGUCGUUCUGUUCCUGAAUCAAUGGAAUGAUAGGAGAAAGAAGCAGAGGAGAGAGAAUAACAGGAGAAAGAAGAAGAAGAGAGAGAAGCAGAGGAGAAGGAAGAAAAGGAGAAAGAAGCUGAAGAAAAAGAAGCAGAGGAGGAAAGGUUUGAAGAAGAAGAAGAAAGAUAAAAUCAAGAGGAAUGAGAGCAUGAGGAAAACUCUUCUACACCUGAAGCCAUGGAAACAGGGGAAGAUGGUGAGAACAAAGGAAUGUCCUCAUAUCCUGUUGUCAGUGAAGGAGUCAGCCGUUCUCAAGCAGAUCCAGAGGACAUCCAUGCCUCUCAAUUUCCUGAGGAGGAACAUGAUGCUUCAUCGCCACAUCGCCAAAUCUGCGUGAUUAUGCUGAAACCAGUACGCAGACUGAUAACUCAGCAGAUUUUCGCAGAAUCAUUAAUGUUCUUUUGGAAAUGCAGGGUCAGAUAUAUGCUUUGGAAUGUGAAGUUCAGAACUUGAAAAAUGCAGGACAAGCUUCUUCCGUUUCUUUAUCUGAUUAGAUCCAAGCCCUUGCUCUUCAGAUUCAAGCCAAUGCUAAAGGAGAAGAGGUGGAUCAACUGAAGGAAGAAUUGAAAAAGCUGGAAGGCAUCAUCCAGUCAAUUGGAGAUUUCCAGCUUGUUUGCAUUCCCAAGUAGACUUGACUCCAUUCUAUUCCCAUCUCAACCUUUUUUUAUGAUGACAAAAAGGGGGAGAGAUGCGAGAUUUGAAAUCUUUGAACUUUGAACUUAAACUUGUUAAAUUUUUUUUUUGUUUUGAUGUUUGACUUGUAUGUCCAUGUCUGGAUGUAGACUGACUGAAAGUGGAUUUGGAUUUGACUGCUGCUUAUAUUAAGUACUAUUGAUAUCUUAUGAAUGGCUUUACUCUUAUGCUAGACUAACCUAUUUUUUUGUGAUUGCAGAUUCUAGUGUUAUCAUUAAGCCAUUAAUCUUUAUGAGAUAUCCAUAUUUGCUUGAGUAAUGUUUUGCAGGUCAAAGUUAUUCAAAUCUGCAGAAAAGUUUUGUCACCAUCAAAAAGGGGGAGAUUGUUAGAGAAAUCCUUCUGAAAUAUUUUGAAGCUGACAGAACGUUUCUAUCAGUCUAGUAUGAAGAUUUGCAGACUCUAUUAUUAAAGUCUGAAGACCUCUGGACUGCCAGACUCAAUACUCAAAGUCUAUUCUCAUUGACAGUUUCUAAUCCGUUGAAGAAAGGCUCAGUGCUUCAUUAAGGAUUUGGCUUUAUCGACUGGAGUAGAUCUCUUGGCUUGAUAUGACAUAACAUAUUCCUUUAUUCAAAUCAAGAAUGAUUAAGAUCCGAUGAUUGGUGAAGUAUUCUUGGAAGGUUCUACUUAUGGAAACCAAGAUACUGAUUGUAUGGGCAUCAACAUGUUCCUUUAAUAGCUCGAAUAAUCUUCUUAAUUGAUUCUGUCCAACGGGAGGAUUGGAAGAAUUCAUUUGGUAAGUGGCAAUGGGUAUGAUGGCACAAAUGAGUAUAAAAGGAAGACGUUCCAGUUGUUCGAGGAAGUGCACGAGAGAAGAAUUCCAAAGUCUGAAGCUUUUUGAUUCUUAGUCAAUUCAUUUACUGAGCGAAAUCUUGUACGCAAAAGAGAGUCUAUAUUUUGAGAUACCUUGAGGAAGUGUGGUAGAGUAUCUACACUGUGGAAUCAAGGAAAAUCAUUGCUGUAACAUCUCUUUUGUUCAUAGUGAAAUCCAGCCAGUGGGCUGUCAGUGCAGAAGAGUGGACGUAGGCUUAGAAUAAGCCGAACCACUAUAAACCUUGUGUUCAAUUCUCUCUUCCCUUCUCUUUGCUUUACUUUGAUCAUAGUUCGAUUUGUUAACUAAAGGAGAGCUUCCAUACUGUUGUUUAUCCAGUAUUGCUUUCAUAUCUCGAGAAAUUAUUUUUACACCUAUUCAACCCCCUCUAGGUGCUUAUACUAGCUAUAUCACCUAAAACUAUUGGGCAAGAGUGAUUGUGUUAGUGUUUAUAUGGAUAGAGAGAUGUUCAAUUUAAGUUGGAGUUGAAACUAGAAACUCCUAAAGUUGAUGGUGUUAGCAUGUUAAUAAACACAAAUAGUGCUUAUAGAGAGGUAGAGCUUAUAGAACUGAUGGUUGCUAUAAUUGUUGGGUUUAACAAGGUGCAUGUUUGAUCUCUUGAUAGGUAUGCAUGCGAUGAUUUUGCUUUAUCUGCAGUUUAGGAAGUUGUGUAGGAAAAUCUUUGUGGAGAAGUUAAUAAAUGCAAGUGGAGUUGGGAUUCUAAUGAGGUCCAAGGUUAUGGCGAAGUUCAUGUGUAACUUGGAUUUCAAGGAUAUUGGUGGGGGUUGAGCCCAUAAGGAUCUAUGGGUGUGACAUCCCAAAUUUUCAGUCAUGUUUUCUAUUGAAUAAAUCAGGCAUUUUAUUGACGCGUCUAGAGAGUUGUUCUCAGAGUUGAUCACCCUCGAGAUAAUUGGACCAUAUGAGGAAAUCAUUAAGGAAUUUUAAUGCAAUAGACUUGAGAAUUUGACUAAGAAUCGAUUUCUCGAUCGUGUCCAUCUUUAGAGAUCAUUAUGGCACAGAUAUUAAUCAAUUCGAGAUCAGAGAUAUGUUGGUUUGACUAAGAUAUAUGGCAAAUAGUGGGUGACACCACUAAAUUUAAAAAUUCUCGUCAAUCAAUACUAGAUUGAUUUUCUUAUUGUUUUGGUACCAUGUGUCCGUAUUUAGAUCAUCGGGAUUUUCACGACAAUCGAGAGUCGCCAAUAAGUUAAGUAGGUUCAUAGUGGCUCGAAGAAAAUCGACCACGGGUCAUUUGUACUAAAAUUUUUUGAAAGUUACCUAGUAGCCUAAGCCACGCUAAUAACGCGUUGAAUGGAAAUUAACCGUGAAUUCAAGUUUGAUUUCAAAAAUUGAAAGUUCGGUCAUGUCACGAGCUAUUUUAGGAACGUCGACUCACCCUUUGAAGAAUUUUCAGAGAUCCCGAGAUUUUCACUGAAAAUCUAUUCAGAUGUUGCGGAAAAUUAGUAGAGAUUCAUAUGGGCUAAAUCAAUGGAAAUUAUGACUUCUAAGCUGAGCCUUUGAGUGCCAGGGACCUACAGGAAAUUGCUCAUGAUUUUUCUUCAAAGGGAUUGGACCUCGAUUUGGAGAAUUGGUGAAGAAAAUUAAGAGUAUUUGAGUGAAAUUCGGAACUAAGGUCUUGGGGCUGUAUUUUGGCACCAUUUGAGCUAAUUGUGGAUUGAUUUGCAAGAAAAUAAUUGGGAGACCAAAGAGGGUAGGUGUGUGGGUUUUUGGGGGACACCAUAGGAUAAGAUGGAAGACUUCCUGGACCCAUUUCAUGAUGAAAAUUGAGAUAUCUUACUAGAUUUUUUGCCUCUCUCCUUCGAUCUUUCUCAUCAGUGCGUUCAUUCUCUUCGACCGUUCCAUUCUCCCACGCUUCUAUUUUUCAUUUCCUCUUUUCCCAUCUCCUUUGCACGCCAUAGCCCCACCGAGCGAAACCUCCGCCGCUGGCAGCUUUGUCUUCUUCCCAAUUUCCUCUCAGCUGAAGUUCUCCCACGGAAGCUGCUUGUUUCUUCAGCUCCUCGCGGUCACGUCCCUCUCCGCGCGUCCAAGCCCACCGAUGGCCGAAUCCCCAUGCCUAGUCAACGAAAGAGUCCAACAAAAAUCGGUUUGUUGACCUCCUAGCCCCACACGAAGCCGCCCAUCUCCACGAAGCCUUGCUGAACAAAGCCCCACGCUGCCCUGUGUUCAACCGAUCAACCUAGCAAUUCCACCGACUCUCUGCAGUCGCGCCAGCACGCCCACGCUCCACCAAAUUUUGUCUCCUCAAGUCAACCCGCCAAGCAGAUUGUUGACUCCUCCACCGAAUCAAGCUGCAACUCCAUUCGGCUUCACGUUUAGCCGGCAGCCGCCACGAGCGAGGUAGCAGCCUUCAUCUUCGGCUUCUUCAAUCCAGC